GAUAUCCAUUGGGCUGGCCUCUACAAACUGCUCACCUGAAUUUCUUUCCCCAACUUAUGUAAUGUCUUUCAAGAUCAAGAGCCAUCAUUACCGUGAAUUUCUGCUGAUGAGCAUGGGGGUUUGGUUGGCGGUAGAGCUUGUAUUAGAGAAACAGAUUGACAAUGAGAAGCUUCCAAAUUUUCAAGAAGUACUGUAACGUUAGGGAAUUUGUUUUAAAUGGAUUAGUAGAUGUACUUAGUAUCAAGCCUUUUUCCUGCUCAUUAGUUUUAGAUCAAAGGCAACAAAAAGAAACCCUUUCUCUCUGUAAGAUUCCUAGCUCAAAAAUGACAUGAAAUUUGCUCUUCUAUCUUUAUUGGAAUGCAGGCAAACAUGCCUUCCUGAGAUUUUCAAUCUAAAAGCUCCUCGGCCAACUAAGUACUCUAAAAGUUCAUUUGGUUAUCAAUUUGCUAGAAAAGAAUGAUAAUGCGUUUACAUUCAUGAAAUAGAUUGUCAAAAUCAAAGUUUGAUGGAACAGAAAAUUAUAGAGAGGCAAUGAUGGACAAAGAUUUUAGGAGUCAAUUUCUAAUUUUUUGUUUCUUCAGGACAACAUACUCCAGUAAAAUCAUUACUAAAUUCUUUUAAAUCUAUCCAAUAUCAGGUGAUAAAUAUUGUAUGGUAAGAUGAUUUUGUUGCAAAAUAUCUGAAGUUUUAAAACGUCUGUUUCCAAGAUGUUGUCUAGUAAUGUAACAGUAAGGACUGAAGAAUUAUCAUUUUGCAAGUUGAUUGCAGGUUGCAAAUAGACAUCUCAAUCAUUAAUUGUACUACCUUAUAAGCUGUGAAUUAUCGAAGUAAAUUGCAAUUUUAGAAAUUUAGUUUGUCAAAGCUAAAAGCUCAACAGAUGUUCAAGAGCAAGUUAUUUGAUGUGGAGUGUGGACAGUUUAACACGAUGCCAAAGCUGAAAAACUUUUUGUAUUUACAUCUACGGUGCAAAAUUCUUUUUUUAAAAUAAAAACUAGCAGUUUACUUUUGCUCAUCUCAUAUGUCUGCUACUUCCAGUUUACUUUUGUAUUUCCAUCAUGACUGCUAUUUCUCUUUAAACUUGAGAGUCUACCGGGAUGGAAAUGCUUGCUCUGAUCUCUUUUAAAUAUAUUUAUCAUCUUGCUCGAAAUUAUCUGAUAAUUGGUAUUCUUAUUAUGUCUCUUAAAUGAUGGGAUUCGACAUAAUUGCUCCAAUAUAUUUAUCAUCUUUCUUUAGCUAUGAUCUCUUGACCUAAAUCCAAUGGUCAAUCGAGUUACUCUCACUGCCUUUGGUUGUGAAAUUGGUGGUCUGAUAAUUUAUAAUACCAACAAUCUUCUUCCAUUACUUAAUGUUGGGUUAAGAUGUUAAGAUGUUUUUCAAGCGGUAGAGAGUUGGUAGACUAUCCUCUACUGAAGUUGUCAUAUGAGAUUUAAGUAAAAUAGUUGUAAUUAGCUCUGCCUGUUGCAUCUUGCAGUCUCAAAGAGAUCGCCUUCAUGGCAAUUCUGAGGCUCUCUUCCUUUCAUGCUUGUGUUGCCACUCAUUGUCAUUAUUGUUAUAGAACUCCUCCUUUUUCAGUGUUUUGAACAAAAACUAAUAUAGUUUCUAUGAUACUUCUGGUACUUGUAGACUGACCAGAAAGAUUUGAUAUCUUCUUGCUGAUUUAGGUUAGAAAAGAACAACAAGAACAAAUAUUGAUUUAGCUUUCUGAAUAAUUGACCAAACAAGAAUGUCAUGCAAUUUCCAGUUUUCUGUUUUGAAGUGACUAGGAGUUUUGUUUUGUUGAUUUUAUAUAUCUGCUUUUGUGGAUGUAAGAUGUGAUUGCUAAAGUGAUCAGCUCCCUAGCUUAUGAUUCUAGAGGGAGUAAAUAGUGGCUCCAAAGUUUAAUGGCCCCUUGAGGGCGCAUUUAUCAAGCUUCUUGAACCAUUUGAUUAGUGAUUUGUUCGAUAAGUCUUGUAAAUGAUGGGUUUCUGUCUCACUUUUCGUUGGUUGUGAUUUUCUAGCCUGAAAGAUUUCAGGAGUUUCCAGAGUGUUGGUCAUCAAAUUGGUUUUUGGUUCUAAGAGUCCAAUGUUUUUUCAGAGCAUCUUCUAACACAAUCAAGUCUAAGCUGCCAGUUUCGAAGCAUAUCGCUGUGGUUAGUCGAGACUGCCAAGCAUGCUUGUUGGCUGCAAUUAUUUCAUCCGCUGUGAUGAUGGCUAUGAAGCUCAUUCUACAACCUAUACUUGUUGAUAUUGCUCAUCUCUUCAUGUGAUUUUACACUCGAAGAUCAACAUUAACCUUGAUAGCUCGCUCUUACUAUCAUUUGUAAUGAAGUCCUGUGAUCCCUUGUUGAACCAGAUCCUGAUUCAGUCAGAUCAGAUGAAAACAUCCGGCAUGGAAUUCCCUUUUGCUCUCUGCCUCGGAUGCCCAAAGCCUGAGAUCUUCCCUGUCUGUCUGGUGCUGUUGAACUGUCCAACCAAUUCAGCAAUUUGUAGACAUGUUAAUGAGGUGCUAUUUUACUUCUUUUGGAACUCAAUUUGCCAUAUCUUCCAUACUGCUUGUAGUUCAAAGCAGCAGAAAGAUGUGGAUUAGCUGAACCCUGAUAGGUGCUUGCAUCCUUCUUGAAGUUGUAUCUUAGCUCUAUAACAGGCAACAUAUUUUUUCUCACUGUUCUGCAGUCGACUACAAGUUGUGCCCAAUGAUACUUUUUCCAUUGCUCUUUGUAUCUGUAAAUCUCAGACAGGACUCGGAGCACAAGAAUCAGUCAGCUUGAGCCCUUCUAUUUAUGUUAAAUCAGAUGAAUUGAGGCACCAAUUUCUAUUCAAGAGAGGAUCCCACUUGGUGGAUGGGAACGUUGGAGAGAUGAAAUUAUGGAAAUCAAUUGAACAGGAUCAAGAAUUAAAUGGGAACAUACAAGGUCAACCUUAGUUCAUCAAACUGAUAUUUUACAUAGCAUCUAUUUGUAAAAUUACUUCUAUGUGAACUUGUCUCUUGGCUUCAAAUCCUAUUCAUUGCUAGCUCAGGAUAUGUAACAA
Coffea arabica (coffee) is the source of this 3009-nucleotide non-coding RNA. NCBI's taxonomy places the organism in Eukaryota, Viridiplantae, Streptophyta, Magnoliopsida, Gentianales, Rubiaceae. The record is from RefSeq and is a predicted model, not a curated record.